GAAGAGAAUGUGGCCAGGAUGGGGAGGAAUGUGAGAUUAGCGUAAGCGAGUUACAGGGCGUUUGGCGCACGGGCGAAUUUACGUGCAUACCUUUCACCGUAGCAUCAGUCCUCAGUUCACUUCCUGGAACGAACAUCAGCAUAGGUCCAAGCCCUCUCCGAAUGCUGCAAGCUGUAAUCGACGAACGUGCAAGACCAGAGUGACUCCUUAUCGAAUGAAUCAAGAAUACUAUUUGAGUCAUACUCAAAAUGUAUGAAUCAACUCGGCAGCAAUUUGCGUGGGCGCCGAGGACGCAACAUCCCAAGCUGUCUUCUGUGGCGAAGCUCGGGCUAGCGGCCAGUGGAGCUCUUCAAAUAGCAAACCAUGUAAGCAUGGGAAUAAUAUUACACACUAACAAAGUUCAGCGCGACAGACAACUCAAACUUUCUCGCCAGCUCGCGCGAUAACCUCAAUAACAAUCGCUCCUAACAAAAGGAACAGCGUAAAAAAUAAUACAGCAAAGAAAACGGUACCUGAGUUCCACUCAGUUCCGCUCAGUUUCGGCCCCACACGAACUCACGGGAACUGAGCCGAACUGAGAUCCCUCGCACCCCAACGGUCACCCGUCUUCCAAACAUGCCGUCCUGCUCCCCCCAAUCAUCCCCUCUUCUUGAGACCCCUCUUAAGCUCGCUGAAAGCGUCGGGGCUAAGGUCUUCGGCAAGCUGCUUGGCAGGAAUCCAGUACAAUGUCUUGUCCCCUUAGAAUCUGACUUGGUACUCCAGCUUGCCUGCCUUGUUAAACCUGCUGCCUUCGAACCUGCUUACCUCCACGUGCUCCUCGCCGUCUAUCACCUCCUUCUUGGCCUUCCUGCUUCGCUUCCCCUUCUUGGGCUUGGCUUUGGGAGCCUCCUUGCCCUCUGCUUCCUCUAUCUUUGCCUCAGCAUCCCCAUACCUCUUACCCACCCUCACCACCGUUUUGUGCUUUCCCUCCGCCUCCCGCUUCUUGCUGCCCUCUAAACUACCCUCCAUAUCUCUGGGAUCAAUCUUGCUUAGCUCAUUUAUAGCGCCAUGGCAGGGUGGAGCCGUCAGCAUCCACCAGCACAAACUCCCCUCAAAAAUUUAGCAUCUUCGAAUCUACCCCUGUCAAUUCGCCGCCUAACGUAACCCCCUACCCCUAUAUCCACCAGUGACUCUAGUUUAUCAUUUUGCUGGGUUAGCUCCUCGUACAUCUCUCUCUCUCUGUGUCUAGGUCGCCGUAUACUUUGUUGGGGGUCAUGUUUUUGAGUGAGGAAUGGGGUGUAGAGUUGUAAUUCGCUCCUGGUCUAUAAAUCGUGUGGUGUUGUUGGCUAGCAUGUAAUAGCGUAUGUAUCGUUUGAUGGUCUUGGUUGCCACGUCCACUAUGCCUAGCUUGUUGCCCCUGGACAUAUGGUCGUCCUUAGCCACUUACGUAUCUCGAAUGGUACGCUCUCCUUGGCCUUAUGCUGGAAUUCUCUCACCUUCUCCAUGCGUUAUUUUAGCACUUCUUCCUUCGUUUCUUUCUCUUUAUUGGAAAGCUCUCUUAAUAGCCGACGUUUCUCUAGCGCCUUCUCUUGUGCCUUCUGCAGCUGGGCAAUUUUCUCUGCUGUCAAUUGUUUUUUGGGCAUGGCAACGGUUUGGGCUUCAGGCUCAGACAUUUCAGUGGCUUCAGACAUUAUAGAUAUUUAUAGUAACGUCAGAAAAAACUUAGUGGAAUUUCAGAGUUAUUGGCAUGGUUCUAAGGAUGGGCAUGCAUUUCUCUGCUUGCCACACCCCUUCCAGUGCUUGUAUUUAGUCUUAUCCAGACAAGGUUGUAAACCAUGAGAUGAAAAGCCCUCCGGGGGCGUCUGCAACCGCUCAUGUGCCCAUGCUGACAGCAUAUGGUUUCAAAAAGCACCCCCAAGCUCCGCCUCCCCACCAGGAAGCCCCCAAUUAAACUGAUGGGCAACCCAUUGCCUCAGGCAACAGCCUUGACAGUAACCAGUGCACUUGGUCCCUAGCGCGUUGCUGCCUUAGCACAGCAGGCAUUCCUUUCCAGUACUCCACUGCCUGGCACCUCAUCAACACCAAUCGCUACAAGUUGGCCAGCACCGAGGAGCCCGUGUUCCCAGCUGGCGUACACAUCCAACUGGCAGUCACGCAGACGGUGCGGCAUACCAGUGCAAACAAGCCGCCGUCAUGGCCUACCUGGCGAGCAAGAAUGGGGUCUAACGACCCCGGGCUGCUUGUGGCGGUCAUGUGCGGUAGCCUGAGACCCAGAAGGAGAAGGCGUUUGGUGGGAGAAGUGUUGGCUCUCUAAUUUGUCCUCCUGUUUGUAGGUACUCUGUGUGUGGGUGCGGGUUGCAGGUUGGAAUUCUGGCUUGUCUCGAUGGCUCCUAGCAUGCAUCGCAUAUCAGCCAUUUUGUUGUUCCCAUUUAUGAAUUUUGCCAUUUGCGCCAUUUUGCACUACAAGGCCAUUUGUGCCACCACUGGACCGGUCGUGGGCCACUGCCACAUGUGACAUAAGACGGGGUUAGGGGCCCCUAAUGUAAGUCAUCACGAGGUGCUGACUGUCGUUACCCUGGCGGCCCGGUGAGGUGAAGAGGGGGUAACCAUGUGCAGUAGUCAGAGUUGAGCACGAUCGUUACCCGGAUGUAACGACGUCCCCGGGGUAACGAUUGUCAUUACAUGGUCACGGAGAUCGUAACUAUCAUUUCGGUGCCAUAGGGAACCUGGUCCGACCCACGUGGUGUGGCACCAUACUAAGAGCACAGGACCCCCCAUCCAGCAACUGGCAGCCAGUUGACAUCGAGGCGAUGCAAAAAGAGAUGGGAGGGGCGGAAGGGUGCGCCAAGCAAGGGGUGCAAUGGCAAGUGUUAGGAUAGCCAUGGGGGUGCUACACUACGCAUUCUAACAUGGAAUGCUCCCAUCGCCUACGGCAAUCGCCUGGAAUUAAUUGCGCAAGGAGUUAUAUGUCCUGGCGAUUACGACAUUAUAAUUGCUACUGAAAAUAAAGUCCUUCCAUGCAACCUGUCCAGGCCUUUGGCGCCGUGUGGGAAAUGCCUCGCGGGUGGCAAGGGUCUCUUGCUGGGCUGAUGCUAUCUUGCACCGUCCACGUCUGAAGUGGAUGAAGACUUAAAACUGGCGGACACAACCUGGCCGACAGCAUUGCUGGACCGCUGGGUGACGCAAUCUAUGCAUUGCGGAGGGAUGGAGAGAGAUUCUGUUUCUGUGGGAGAUUUUACUGCACGUGUAGGUGCGGCUAAGGAGACUGAUUACGCAUAUCAAGCACCGUUCUCGCCUUUUGAUAAAGAGCAUUGCAUUACACCAGCCUCUGAGCUCAGGGCGCUGGACCAAACAAUUGAUAUUGUCGGCAAGAGGGUCCUGCACAUGUGUUGUCAGCAUGACUUAAGCAUUUUCAAUGGGAGAGUGGACGGGGACAUCCCAGCUGGCCACACGUUCACUGCUAGCAGGGGCAGCACGGUCGACCUAUUCACUGGGUCGCAAACCCUGCUUGUUACUAGCCCGCACCUGAGUGUGAUGCGCAACAAUGCAUGGGGUACAUGACAGUCCAAGUUCAGUGACCAUUGUCUGGUGACUUUGAUAAUCCCCAUCCCCGCAGCAGGACAAGGUGCCUCUCAUAAAUUUGUUUGAUAAUGGCGGCAAGAAGCGUUUCCAAGCCCUGUUUGCUGACCCCGGGGGCCAUGUUGUCGUAUGUUGCCAUGUAGCAUGUUGCAACGUCGCAUGUCGCAACCCAGGGGGUGCCAAUAAACUUGCACACAGCCAUACAUGCGGGUCAAGCUGGGUGGAAAGCUAGGCAUGCCCUUCAGUGUCAGGUGGGGCGUCAAGCGAGGAGCACUGAUGUUGCUCACAUACCUGAAAGAGUUUUGCGAGGCUACAUACUGGCAUGCAAGUGAAUGCGGCUUAGUGCAAGGUACUGUACUUCAGUACAACCCCAGCACAGCGCAAAGAGUGGGCCACAUGUGGUUUCACACUGGGUGGUGUGCGGUUGAAGGUCCUAGGGAAUAAGGAAACAGCCCGCUACCUAGGUUUGCACUACGGUGCUGGGCACAAAUUCACAGACUGCAUUAAGGAGCUUGUGGUGAGCAUAGCUGAGGGCCACAUGCUGAGGGCGAUGACGCAUUUGAUAUUGGGGGUGGUCGGGGGUGUCAUGAUGAGUAAGCAUGUCGGUGUGUGUGUGUUUAGCCAGUCGCGACCAAGUCCGUGGACCAUUGUGCGCAUGGACAAGAGACAAGCAAACAAGCAUUGCAUCAUAAUGCAUGGGUGAUUUGUGUGUGCUUGUGAAAGCCUGCAUUUGCAAAUAUUAGAGAGUGGCCGGGUGUCGUGCCACACACGCCAGAAAUAGAAAUAGAAAUAGUCAUACCCUGGUAGAGGCAAGUGGUAUGUGUUAAGGGAGUGGGGAGGGAUGAGGAAACAGGCCAGGCCCGUAGCCUGUACACUCCCAAUACCGGAAGGGGUGGGGCGAGGGGGUGGGCCAUGCCCGCCUCCCGCACGCUCUGGUUACACCCCACCGGGCCAGCCACUGCCGGGGUCGCCUGGUGGCUGGCCCCACUCGAGGCGUCGUCAUGUGAGGACGAUGUUAUUGAGUGAGGAGACCACGUGGUCGUGCAGGGCGUUGCAGCAUUGUCGUGCGGCAUGUGCGGUGGCUCCAAGGGAGGUGAGUAGGGGGUGGAGGUCUUUGCGGAUUGUGCCGGCAAAGCCCAGGCUAAUGGAGUUUUGGGCGGUGUACUGUACUUUCCAGCCUGCCUCUUCCAGGGCGGCCUUGAGGUGUGCAUGUUGUUCAGCUUUCUCGUGUUGUUUUGUGGUGUGGUUUGUGUCAGCAGAGUAGCCUACUUCGAUGAUGUGGACGGUGUGGUGCUGGCCGGGGAUGAUGCUGAAGUCGGGGGCGUGGGUGGCGGCUAGCAUGAUGGACGGGAUGAGUAGGAUAUCCGGGCGGUAGUUGAGGUGUCGGCCCGGGGGUUGGCCAUCUGUGUCGGGGAGGAGCCACACUGGGAGGCGAUUGUCAGCGACAUAGUCUGGGAGGUCCUCCUUGGAGGUGGCAUCCAUGACCAUGUAGCAGCCGCCCAUGUCGCCGCACGAGAUGGGCCGCACGCACCAUGUGAGAUGGCCAUGUGAGAUGGUCACGUGGGUUGUCACUUUUUGGCUGGGCACAGUGUUCCGUGCCACAAUGCCAGUAUCAUGUAGAUGCCUGCAGGCCCCUGGUGCCUACACUGCGUAGAUAGACACCCCCUCAGAAAAAACUUCCAUGGGGGGCAAGCCCCCCCAAACCCCCUGUAAUUCGGGGCCCAAAAGGUGAAAAAGCGUCUACAUGCCGUAGACACAUCCGUAGACACAUACCCCACGGAGACACGAUAGCUUCUACAUUUUUCGUCCAUCUGGGGGCGAAUUUUUUAAAUUCGGUCCCUCAUGUAACCAAUGCAAUCUAAUUUUUACACGUAGAUGGAAGAUAAGAGCACUGCCAUGCCGGACACCAGGAAUGGCACUGUCUUGUCCAGCCCUUUGUAUGGCAGGAUGAGCACAUGUGAUGGGUUGUACGCCUGCAUGGGGAGAAUGGGGCCGUAUGGGUAGGGCGAGCCUCCAGGGUUAUCUAAGGUGGAGGCCACGCUAGGUUCGAGAGACCAGGCAAGACCUGUGUACUGAGACCAGGCCGUAAGACCACACUUCGGCUGUAAGCCCUGAGAUCUCUCCCCUCAACUCUGGUUUCUGGGCAAUAGCCCCAAGCCCUCUGAUAGGGUGUUCUGUAACACACGCUUGACUUGUCCUGACUUGACCUGUCCCUCCGUGUCCCACUGCACCGAGCACGCUAACCUCCAAGCGCCUGAGACUGUCAGCAGCAGUGUGAGGCCCCUUUCCCCUUACCCGUGCACAGGCUCCAGCCCUGCUCACCCCGAGCCCCUCUCUUCCCCUGUGCUCCCUGAAGGCUAGGAACCAUGUGGUUCAUGUCCCUGGUUGACACACUCAGGUGGAUCCCGUGCCCGGACUCUCCCGUUACAGCUCUCCAGCUAACGCUUCUGCAUCUCUAUUCUACCUUCAGCUGAUGCUUUCACAUCUUGAUCCUACCUGCAGCUCAUACGCUUCCGCAUCUCGAUUCAACCUUCAGCCCAUAUGCUUCCGCACCCUACUUCGUGAGCAGCACUCUCCCUUGACAGCCUUUCACACACUUCAACACAUAUCGAGACCAGCAAGUGGUUGCUGUGCUUCACUAACCCAGCGUCUGGUCCUCACACCAACGUUGGGCAGGGAGCUUUCCCUGAACCUUGGGCACCUUCAGGAAAAAAAUCUGUACAUGUAUAUGCCUUUUGCACCCUGAGGGUCGUGCGCAUUACAAGCUCCUUGCGGCAGGGAAUACACCCUAUGAUUCAUGGGACACUGUAACUGUAAUACAUAUGCAAAAGUCUCAAUCACCCACAAAACAAGUAGGGCCCCAGCCCAUCUCAGUAAUGAUGCUGAGGCCGCCUACCCACCCGCAUCUUGGCCACAACUGCUUCCACUAGUUCCUCCGUCAGCACUCAGUGCUGCGUGAUUGGCUUUGUCCAGCUUUAGCAAUGAAGAAUGGCCCAACUGUAACCCACACGUGCGAUCAUGGCAUCCUUGGCCAUGCAGCAGCUGCAUGCCCGAUGGGCCCCUCCUCCAGAGGCAAACAGGAGGUGUGAAGAUCAAAACCAUGCGCCUUAUGCAUCUAUCAAACCAUGCACCAUGCACCCGCCACGUGCGACUGCCAUAAUGACUGUGGCUUAAUUAGCGCCAUCAGCUGUGCGAGCCAGCCCCGCCUGAUCAGCAGCACGAGAAGAGCCUGUGGUUGAGCAAAAGCAGGUGUUGGCCGGUGCAGUGUGCAUCAGUCAGCGCAGCGACUUCAGGCAGGCACCUUUGGCGACGUGUGCGCACUCCUAUGCAAGCCCGUCCUUGUCCCUAACAUACCGCAGGAGGCCUCGCCAUCGUGGUGCCUGCUGCGCAACUUGCAGCGCCUUGAUAUCCCGUUGCAGCUGCGCGAUA
RNAcentral lists this long non-coding RNA (6987 nucleotides) under Volvox carteri. RNAcentral describes it as "long non-coding RNA (VCAR_LNC000306)". The record is from RNAcentral. Lineage: Eukaryota; Viridiplantae; Chlorophyta; Chlorophyceae; Chlamydomonadales; Volvocaceae.